ACUCAAAUGAAUAGACGGGGACCCGCACAAGCAGCGGAGCAUGUCGCUUAAUUCGAUGCAACGCGAAGAACCUUACCUGGAUUGAACUACGCAGGAAAAGCCAUAGAGAUAUGGUGUCCUUCGGGGUCUGCGAUAGGUGAUGCAUGGUUGUCGUCAGCUCGUGUCGUGAGAUGUUGGGUUAAGUCCCGCAACGAGCGCAACCCUUAUCCUAUGUUGCUAACAAGUUAUGUUGAGGACUCGUAGGAGACCGCCGUGGUCAACACGGAGGAAGGUGGGGAUGAUGUCAAAUCAUCAUGUCCCUUACGUCCAGGGCUGCAGACAUGCUACAAUGGCCGAUACAAAGGGUUGCCAAACCGCGAGGUUGAGCUAAUCCCAAAAAGUCGGUCUCAGUUCGGAUUGAAGUCUGCAACUCGACUUCAUGAAGCUGGAGUUGCUAGUAAUCCCAGAUCAGCAUUGCUGGGGUGAAUACGUUCCCGGGUCUUGCACACACCGCCCGU
This 497-nucleotide ribosomal RNA is filed under the name uncultured bacterium. RNAcentral's name for it is "partial 16S ribosomal RNA". It matches the Rfam family "Bacterial small subunit ribosomal RNA", at positions 899 to 1397 of the family's 1533-position model. The record is from RNAcentral.